This 521-nucleotide unclassified non-coding RNA is filed under the name Hevea brasiliensis (rubber tree). The record is from RNAcentral. Lineage: Eukaryota; Viridiplantae; Streptophyta; Magnoliopsida; Malpighiales; Euphorbiaceae.
ACCUCCAUGGCUCAUAUUCAACACAUCAUAUCACUUCGCCUGAGAUAGGACAUGCAAAAGUACCAUUCUCUCGCCCAUAAAUCACCUAUUCAUUGCUUAUACCCUGUCAGCUUACUGGAGAUGAUGUAGGAAAGGAAAAGGACGUCAACAAUCAUUCAAGUAAAAAAUUCUAAGCGAAAACUCAAAUUACUAUCCCAAGUCUCUAAUUAUUAGUUAUGUGAAGGACCCAAAGCACUAAAAAAUGUAGAGGUGAAAAAUUAAUCAAGCAAAAAGGCAAUUAGCACAUCCCAAAUCAAAGGGGAAAGAAAAAUCUAUGCAACUCAUAGAUACAGCAACUACCAAGAACUUCAACACCAUAUAAGCAGAGGCAUUUUACCAAUUAAAAACAUACAUAUCCACAUACAUAAAAAACACGAUUCAUUGCUAAAUUUUUAAAUCAAUCCACCGUUUUCCUAGCAACCAAAUGAAAAUUCAAGCAAACCCUAGACAAAAGCAACCCAAAAAUAGCUGAAUGCUUACCG